This is a long non-coding RNA of Hordeum vulgare subsp. vulgare (domesticated barley), 402 nucleotides long. RefSeq lists it as uncharacterized. The record is from RefSeq and is a predicted model, not a curated record. Lineage: Eukaryota; Viridiplantae; Streptophyta; Magnoliopsida; Poales; Poaceae. The transcript has 2 exons.
CCAUCUAGAUGUGUGUCUUUUGUGUACUCUCUUACUUGCCUUUUGACAGUAUAUUACUUGAAACAUGGGAACCCUUAACAUGACAAUCUUGCUAUGUUUGCUAUUCCUCAUGCCACUCCAUUUGGUUCCUGGUUCAGAGGCCAAGCCCUGCAAAGAGCUCAGUGGGACAUAUACCGCUUCACGCUGUGAUCAGGCUGGAUGUGUUGUGGCCUGCCUCAAGGAGCGCUUUACCCAAGGGCAGUGUGAAGUUGUUGUCAAAAGAGAAAAAAUUAUGGUACUUUGUUUUUGCAAAAAAGAGUGUUGAAGAAAAACAUGUUAAUGUUGUGGAGGAUUUGUUGUAGCAAUCAGUAAGAUUGUGUAGCAAGAAGAACUAAUAAUGAUAACUGGUAAAUUUUGUGACUC